AGUUGCCUAAGAUUAAAAUCAAGUAAAUGAUAAUCGAAUACCUCCAAUGUCCGAAUGUCGGUUUCCAAAUAGUUUUGCUUGCUGUGAACUUUGAUGAAGGUUAAAAUGUUGAACUUUCAUCUAACUCCCCAUUUUCCACACCUCCCUGUCCUAAAAUAUAAGGCAAUUGUGUUGUAUUCAUCAAGAUGCAAGAGUUAUUCAAAGCAAUUUGGCAGCAGCUCUUGAUAAGCUCUCAAUUCUGCCUUUUUCGUCUAGCUGCCCCUCACACACAGUCCUGGCAAACGGUGAAUGAAAAGACUCACCAAAAACUGUCCAGUAAACAGGCCAGGCAGCAACCGAUUCAGCAUGAAGGGAUCCAGUCAGGGGAGGAGAGGGAAGUAAAGAUGGUUGAGCAGGUGACAGAAGAGGUUAAAGACGAUGAACGUCCUCUGAUCUCCGUUCUCCAUCCUGUCCUCUCGGUCAACGGCGCACUACCUUUGGAUGAGUGGUGCGUGUAUCCCAGUGCCCCUCUUACACUCAGCGAGGGCUCCAUGCGCUCAGACAGUGUGGAGGACUGUCUGGAGCCAGCCAAGAACACAGACCUCCUGACGGGUGACCUAAGGUUGUCAGAAGUAAGACAGGAGCAGAUCGGUUCCAUUGUGCUGAAUCUCAAAGUAUCCCAGGUACUGCUGCAGCAGGGCGACGCCAGCCUAGAUGUUGUGGAGAGCUGCCUCCGGACCAGGGGAGGGAACGACGAGGUGGACUGUAGAGAAGCUUCCCCCACAAACCCAUCCAAGUAUAGGAGUGCUGUCGGCCCGCCUUCACCUCGCUACCGUCGGCCACCUCGUCCUCUAGCCAAGACACUGGAAAGACAAGGACAUUAUGGAGAGCGACCGCAGAGUCAGGAGCGAGAGAGAGAAGAGCUGACCUUUGGGAUGGCUCCUUCUCCCUUUUUGAACAAUGAUUGUCAGGAAUAUAGAAAGAAAUCUUAUGAGCAGACUAAUCGAAGUAGCUUGAUUAACAAGGGAUCACUUGAUAUUCAUCCAAGACCAAAGCAUGAGGAAGUUGGAGGCAUAAAUUCCAGGGCUUGGUCCCACCUUCAGGAUCUCCCUGGAACACGGAAAAUAAAUGAGCUCAUAGAGAGGUCAUGCGCCUCACCAGACUUUCUGGAAGGGAUCCAGUCGUCUCUACAGCAGAUGGGCGUCCAGGCCCAAGCCACAAAGACCGAUAGCAGCAGUGAGAGUGAGUCUGACAGAGAUUUCCACACAGUCAAUCAGACCUUCGCGUUGACUUCUAAAGGCUGUGACGACCAAGAGCCUUCACAGGAGGAAUCCAACUCUGAUACAGACGAUCGCCACACUACCCUGAGAUCAUGUCCUACUGUGCACAACCCCGACCCAAAAGCUACCCAGAGUCAAGUAAGGGAAUCUUUCAUCCCUAAACAAAUAGUCAUUGACUGUGUUGCAGCCACACAGGAUAUUCCUGAUGCCACAGAAUGGUGUAUUCUGUGGACGAGUGUAUUGAGUGUGUUACCCUUUUGAAUCCGAUCCAGGAUCCUGGCUCAGAAGAGGGUGGAGAUGUAAUCCCAGUGGUGUUCGGACCAGAGGGUUGCAGACCAGAAGGACAUUUAGCCAACAUCACACACUGCGGUCAGAAAUUAGUAUCAAAGCCUGUUAACUAUUAUUUAUAUAACCCAUGCACAAAGAAAAUAAGCUAUACGUGCAUGGAUUUAAAUUCAGAUAUCAGAAACUAUGGGUGAAACGGUCCUCAUUACUCUUUAAUAUUUAAUAUUAUCGUUUUAUUAAACAGACUCCCUGUUUUGUGGGAAAAGACGUUUAAAGUUAUGAACCAGUUCAUAAUAUUUAAAUAUUAAUACAAAGCAGUAAUGGCCAAUAAUGCUCCUCUCUAAUCACUUCAUCCAGAGGAUGAAUGUGUUCUGAGUGAAAAGGAAAUGCCCUUCGAUGGGGACUCUGCUAGACCAGCGCUGUCGAGACUCAAGAACACCACAUCAGACCCAUCAUGCCUGGCUCAAGUCGACUCAGACAUGUAAGUGUCCACAUAUAUUGAUGUAUCUUUAUAUACCUUUUCCUGUACGAUUGUAUAGGCAAAAACUCUUGAGAUACCUAAGAGGCAGAGAUACAUAAGAGGCCUACAGCCUAUGUAAAGGUCUUCCUUCUGUGACGCAAUAAUUAUAAGAAGUAUUUUAAAGCCAUCCUUUUUGGUCAAAUAAUGAGGGGAAUUCUGAUGAUCCAUGAACAGGCUGCAACACUUUACAGAGCUGGCUGAACUCUCCAGCAUCACAGGCUCUCCUGGCCAGCACCAAGACGGGCUCUUUCGGACCUCCCUCAACAGGCCUCCUCCACCGUGCAACAGCACACCACGGAGCCUGGGUAAACACACUGCCCCUCCUCCUUUACCUUGAGCCCUGUGCUCCUUAGAGGAGCAGAAUGUCCAAACCUUUUUUUAGGGCUGAAUAGUUUCCAUGUUUUUUAAAAUAGUUGUAUAUCUUUUGUUCUGUUGAUGUUUGUGUUGUAUAAUUCUAUUCAACAGCGCAUUUGAAAUCCAACCCUACGGGCACUGAGGUGACCAACAGCCCCAUCCUGGAGGCUCCAGCAGUCCAGUGGACUUCUAUGUCUUUGAACUCUGAGAGCUUUACCACAGCAGCUGCAGAUGUUUCAGGGGACGGCCUCGUAAGUGGCCAAUGCUGUCAACAGUCCGAAACCAUUUGGCUACUUCUCUGGUUGAAUAUCAUUGUCUGGGAUUGCACUGGUUAAUUAUCAACUAUCUUUCUUUUGCCAUUACCAGCAGGACAACCUGGUGGCCACAAACACUAUUCAGUCUCCAUUCUUGAAAGUCGACCCUGGCCCCCAGCCUCCUAGUCACCUCCUGCAGAGCCCUGACUUGAACCUUGCUGGCUCCACGGACCGGGCACAGUGUCCUGGGCCUGGGAAGGAGCAGAGAGGAGCCGGGAGGGAGGCAGUGGAGGGAAGGCAAGAGGAGCAACAUGCCGAGGGAGCAGGACCGUGUGCAGGGUUGGAUGAGGGGGAUAGAAGUGGACAGCAGGGGGAUGGGAAGGGCCACUGUGUGGAGGCAGCGGAGCAUGCAGGACCGGACCACCGAGGCGCCACUGAGCAGCCUCUGCCUGGAGGCUGUGGCGCUGCUAGUGUUAUGAACAGAGGUUGGCAAAACACACAACCCGUCACUUGAAUCCAAGUGAUGCACACAUUCAUCACGUGACGAUCCCAUCUGAAUGUAUGUAGUUAUAUUUACUGUCCUUG
This 3257-nucleotide long non-coding RNA is filed under the name Gadus morhua (Atlantic cod). Its description in RNAcentral is "lncRNA (ENSGMOG00000035863.1)". Lineage: Eukaryota; Metazoa; Chordata; Actinopteri; Gadiformes; Gadidae. The record is from RNAcentral.